GGAUGUGAGGGUGAUCUGGCUGUGACAUCUGUCACUGCAUUGAUCUCUAGGCUGAUCUGGCUGGCUAAAUCCGCGUCCCCUUCCUCCCUCACCAUUCCUCCCAAAGUUGCACACAUUCUCUCAGUUGAAGAGGAUGACCUUCCCCAGUGACCUUUCUUGGAUCAAGGGUAUAUGAGUAGCUGCGCUCCUCUGCUAGAACCUCCAAACAAGCUCUCAAGACCUUGAAGCUAAAUUGUAAUUUUGUCCUUUAACAGAAGAACAGAAGUCUCAGUUUGGAAUAAGCAAGACCUGCUUUCUC
This 298-nucleotide small nuclear RNA is filed under the name Marmota marmota marmota (Alpine marmot). RNAcentral's name for it is "7SK RNA (ENSMMMG00000013635.1)". It matches the Rfam family "7SK RNA". Rfam says of the family: 7SK was discovered as an abundant small nuclear RNA in the mid-70s but a possible function has only recently been suggested. Two independent studies have found that 7SK RNA binds the CDK9/cyclin T complex (known as elongation factor P-TEFb). P-TEFb activates transcription by phosphorylating the C-terminal domain of RNA polymerase II. Lineage: Eukaryota; Metazoa; Chordata; Mammalia; Rodentia; Sciuridae. The record is from RNAcentral.